This 703-nucleotide long non-coding RNA is filed under the name Chrysolophus pictus (golden pheasant). RNAcentral's name for it is "lncRNA (ENSCPIG00010014452.1)". The record is from RNAcentral. Lineage: Eukaryota; Metazoa; Chordata; Aves; Galliformes; Phasianidae.
GGAAGUAGAACAGUUGAAAAAAUGGGCUCCAUUAACACAAUCUUAAAUAAUCAAGUAAAUCACUUAAACAUUUUCUUAAAUAUUUUCUAUAACUAUUGUAAAUUUCCAGUAUUUGAUGUUCUUUGCAGAGGUCCAACUAUUGAAAUCAAUAUGUUUUAGGAUCAUCUGGGCCCCAAGUUAAAAACACUUCAUAGUUGAAAGUUUUUCAGUUGAGCAAUGUAGUAUGAAACAUGAAGCAGGAAAACCCUGAAAGCAGCUGAAGGAGAAGUAAAAAAUAAAUACGUGAACAUGCUCCCACUUGAUUUCAAAACUGCAGCGCUUUUGAAAUCGUAAUUCUUUUGUAGGUCCUGACUUUUGUGUUCCGAACACUUGGGAUUGGCCAUGCUUCAACAAGCAGAUUCAUGUGAGUUUUUGCAAUCAGGAGAAAAAAAAAAAGCAUUCAAGAAAAGGAACACUGCACCUUACGUACAGAGUCUACUUAUCAACAGUUAAAUCACCUUGCAGAGUGAGGCUCCUGGUUUAUGUGCUGUGCAACGUGGGGGCGGGACCCACGAGUUUAAAAGCAGAGGCAAGGACCUUUGUCACAGUGGCUGUGCCCUUGUGGCUCUGCUUGCCUGAUGCAUCAGAGACAAACCUGCAACUCCCCAUGUCCUGGCCAGCUCAGGAAACUUGGCUGCUGAGCAGAAGACAGCCCCACAUAUAG